Molecule: ribosomal RNA, 429 nt
Filed under: Bacteroidota bacterium
Lineage: Bacteria; Pseudomonadati; Bacteroidota
Description: Bacteroidetes bacterium partial 16S ribosomal RNA
Rfam family: Bacterial small subunit ribosomal RNA
Source: RNAcentral
UAGGGAAUCUUCGGCAAUGGGGGGAACCCUGACCGAGCAACGCCGCGUGAGUGAAGAAGGUUUUCGGAUCGUAAAGCUCUGUUGUUAAGGAAGAACGAGCGUGAGAAUGGAAAGUUCAUACUGUGACGGUACUUAACCAGAAAGGGACGGCUAACUACGUGCCAGCAGCCGCGGUAAUACGUAGGUCCCGAGCGUUGUCCGGAUUUAUUGGGCGUAAAGCGAGCGCAGGCGGUUAGAUAAGUCUGAAGUUAAAGGCAGUGGCUCAACCAUUGUAGGCUUUGGAAACUGUUUAACUUGAGUGCAGAAGGGGAGAGUGGAAUUCCAUGUGUAGCGGUGAAAUGCGUAGAUAUAUGGAGGAACACCGGUGGCGAAGGCGACUCUCUGGUCUGUAACUGACGCUGAGGCUCGAAAGCGUGGGUAGCAAACAGG